AUGGCAGUCACCGCGACCGACAUGGACCGCAUGGCGAACGGCGCCGUCGAGUCCUCCGCCGAGUCCCCGGCCGCGGAGGCGCCUCCGGAGGCCAGGACCAAAGGCCGCGGGCUCCGUCGGUGGCGCCGUAUCCAGCGGGAGCACCGCGCGGAAGGCCCCGCUGCCCCCGCCACUGCCGCUGGUGGCAGAGGUCGUGCAGAUGACGACGCGGCACAGCUCCACAAGCGCCGGCUGCCCAUCGGCGCCGCCGCGCCCCCCAAGGAGAAGCACGAGGUGGCCGUCGAGGAGGUGGAGAGCUCCACCGCUUCCGUCGAGUCCCGCUUCGUCCCACUGGAGCCAGUGCCGGCGCCGGCGCCAGCGAAGCUGGACCCGGAUCUCGGCCUGCUCGUCUCCUCCGUCGGCUUCUCGGUCGGCGCAGGCGGCGCUGACUCCGACAACAGCGAGGACCGGAGCAGCAAGUCCUCCACCGCCGCGAGCGCCCCGCGCCACGACUUCCCGCGCGAGCGAGACAGGCUGCGUGCUCACACCGCCGCCGCCAUCCACGGGAAGAAUCACCGGACCGCGCGCGCGCGAGCCGACAGGCAGAGCGCUCACACAGCCUUCUCCCUGGCCAAGGCCGAGGCCGAUAACUCUCGUUGGAGCGUCGAGUCCGACCGCCGCAGCUCUAAUGCCGUCCAUGGCCGGAAACAGGGGGUCGGCAGCAUCGGCAAUGGCAUCCACAAGGAACUUUCUGAUGGUGAUGACCACAGCGAUGAAGGGCAGCCAAGCGAUGAGAUGCGAUCAACAGCUGGAGGUUACUGCACGCAGAGUGGGAGUAGUGUGGUGGGAAAAUUGGGUGGCGGAAAUGGUGAUUCUGGUGAUGCUGAUGUUGAGGACACAUUUGAUGAGGGGGGUGUUGGGAAGGGUGAGAUGGGAUUAGAGAUGAACUCAUGUGCCAACCCAUUUGCGGAAUCUAUUUUGUCACUUCAGAGAACGCAGGAAGCUCUCGAGAAUGAGAUACGGAACUUUGUGGUGAUCGGGAAAGAAUCAACCGAUGAUCUUGAUGCACGUGAUGAUGAAUGGAGCAACUCGCUCCACAUUGAGGAAUCUGUUGAAGAAGCAAAUGAAAAGAGAAAGGAUCUUGAGUCAAGGGUGGAACAAGCAUCAAUACUGAUCAAGGAGAAGGAUUCAAGAAUACUUGAACUAGAAGCUCUCAGCCGGACGAGGGCGUGGAGAAGUGCAAUUCAGAGUGCUAACAACCAGCUGUUGCAGCCGGAUCUUGAUCAACUGCUCCAGGAGAAGAUGGAAGCGGAGAUUCAGUGCAUCAUCCUGACAAGAGCCUCUCAAACCUGGACACCCGUUGCCGAGGAUCGGAAAGCUCUCUACAAGGAGCAGAAAUGUCUGCUUGGCGACUACAAGCAGCUCGAACUCAAACUGCGUAGUGCCGAGAACCGAGCAGCAAUACUAGGGGAGAUGGUGGAGAAGCUGGAGGCGCAAUGCAAAGAGCUCUCUGCGAGUGCAGAAAUCUUGCAGCUGCAAUCUAGAACAAGCUCCGCGUCACUGUUAUGUUUCAUCCAGUUUAUACUGCUGCUUAUUGCCAUAGGCAUCUAUGUUGUGCGUCUGUCUCCAUCCUCGGCCGAGUUUGUACCUACGUGA
RNAcentral lists this ribosomal RNA (1635 nucleotides) under Triticum aestivum (bread wheat). RNAcentral describes it as "partial small subunit ribosomal RNA". The record is from RNAcentral. Lineage: Eukaryota; Viridiplantae; Streptophyta; Magnoliopsida; Poales; Poaceae.